GCUUCCGUAGCUUACCCUUAAAGCACGACCCUGAAGCGGUCAAGAACGGGACAUCCAUCCCCGGAAACA
RNAcentral lists this transfer RNA (69 nucleotides) under Pachydactylus punctatus. RNAcentral describes it as "tRNA-Phe". Lineage: Eukaryota; Metazoa; Chordata; Lepidosauria; Squamata; Gekkonidae. The record is from RNAcentral.